This 241-nucleotide ribosomal RNA is filed under the name uncultured bacterium. Its description in RNAcentral is "partial 16S ribosomal RNA". It matches the Rfam family "Bacterial small subunit ribosomal RNA", at positions 1259 to 1500 of the family's 1533-position model. The record is from RNAcentral.
GAUGCAGAGCAAAUCCCCAAAAAUUGUCUCAGUUCAGAUUGCAGGCUGAAACUCGCCUGCAUGAAGUCGGAAUUGCUAGUAAUCGCAGAUCAGCAUGCUGCGGUGAAUACGUUCCCGGGUCUUGUACACACCGCCCGUCACACCAUGGGAGCCGGGAAUGCCCGAAGUCGGUGACCUAACCGGAAGGGAGGAGCCGCCGAAGGCAGGUCUGGUGACUGGGGUGAAGUCGUAACAAGGUACC